UCGAGCGGUACAGAAAGUAGCUUGCUACUUUGCUGACGAGCGGCGGACGGGUGAGUAAUGCUUGGGAACAUGCCUUGAGGUGGGGGACAACAGUUGGAAACGACUGCUAAUACCGCAUAAUGUCUACGGACCAAAGGGGGCUUCGGCUCUCGCCUUUAGAUUGGCCCAAGUGGGAUUAGCUAGUUGGUGAGGUAAUGGCUCACCAAGGCGACGAUCCCUAGCUGGUUUGAGAGGAUGAUCAGCCACACUGGGACUGAGACACGGCCCAGACUCCUACGGGAGGCAGCAGUGGGGAAUAUUGCACAAUGGGCGCAAGCCUGAUGCAGCCAUGCCGCGUGUGUGAAGAAGGCCUUCGGGUUGUAAAGCACUUUCAGUCAGGAGGAAAGCGUGGUGGUUAAUACCCAUCAUGUGUGACGUUACUGACAGAAGAAGCACCGGCUAACUCCGUGCCAGCAGCCGCGGUAAUACGGAGGGUGCGAGCGUUAAUCGGAAUUACUGGGCGUAAAGCGUACGCAGGCGGUUUGUUAAGCGAGAUGUGAAAGCCCCGGGCUCAACCUGGGAACUGCAUUUCGAACUGGCAAACUAGAGUGUGAUAGAGGGUGGUAGAAUUUCAGGUGUAGCGGUGAAAUGCGUAGAGAUCUGAAGGAAUACCGAUGGCGAAGGCAGCCACCUGGGUCAACACUGACGCUCAUNUACGAAAGCGUGGGGAGCAAAACGGGAUUAGAUACCCCGGUAGUCCACGCCGUAAACGAUGUCUACUAGAAGCUCGGUGCCUCGGUUCUGUUUUUCAAAGCUA
This 796-nucleotide ribosomal RNA is filed under the name uncultured bacterium. RNAcentral describes it as "bacterial SSU rRNA". It matches the Rfam family "Bacterial small subunit ribosomal RNA", at positions 62 to 854 of the family's 1533-position model. The record is from RNAcentral.